RNAcentral lists this ribosomal RNA (279 nucleotides) under uncultured bacterium. RNAcentral's name for it is "partial 16S ribosomal RNA". It matches the Rfam family "Bacterial small subunit ribosomal RNA", at positions 506 to 784 of the family's 1533-position model. The record is from RNAcentral.
UGUCAGCCGCCGCGGUAAUACGGAGGGGGUUAGCGUUGUUCGGAAUUACUGGGCGUAAAGCGUACGUAGGCGGUCUAAUAAGUCAGAGGUGAAAUCCUACAGCUCAACUGUAGCAUUGCCUUUGAUACUGUUAGACUUGAGUUAUUGUGAAGUAGUUAGAAUGUGUAGUGUAGCGGUGAAAUGCAUAGAUAUUACACAGAAUACCGACUGCGAAGGCAGAUUACUAACAAUAUACUGACGCUGAGGGACGAAAGCGUGGGUAGCGAACAGGAUUAGAUA